RNAcentral lists this ribosomal RNA (401 nucleotides) under uncultured bacterium. Its description in RNAcentral is "bacterial SSU rRNA". It matches the Rfam family "Bacterial small subunit ribosomal RNA", at positions 355 to 773 of the family's 1533-position model. The record is from RNAcentral.
UGGGGAAUCUUGCACAAUGGGGGAAACCCUGAUGCAGCGACGCCGCGUGAACGAUGAAGCCCUUCGGGGUGUAAAGUUCUUUCGACAGGAACGAUAAUGACGGUACCUGGAGAAGAAGCUGCGGCUAACUACGUGCCAGCAGCCGCGGUAAUACGUAGGCAGCGAGCGUUGUUCGGAGUUACUGGGCGUAAAGAGUGCGUAGGCGGCGAGCCAAGUUUGGUGUGAAAUCUCCCGGCUUAACCGGGAGGGUGCGCCGAAAACUGGUUGGCUGGAGUAUGGGAGAGGAAAGCGGAAUUCCUAGUGUAGCGGUGAAAUGCGUAGAGAUUAGGAAGAACACCAGUGGCGAAGGCGACUUUCUGGACCGUAACUGACGCUGAGGCAUGAAAGCGUGGGGAGCAAAC